GGGAGCCAGCCCCAUGGCCAAGUAGUUAAGUUUACGCGCUCUGCUGGGGUGGCCCAGGGUUUUGCCUGUUUGGAUCCUGGGCGCGGACAUGGCACUGCUCAUUAGGCCACUUGAGGCGGCAUCCCACAUGCCACGACUAGAAUGGCCCACAACUAAAUAUACAACUAUGUCCUGGGGGAUUUGGGGAGAAAAAGCAGAAAAAAAAGAGAAGAUUGGCAACAGUUGUUAGCUCAGGUGCCAAUCUUUAAUAAUAAAAAAACGACCAUAAGGACCAUAUAACCUCAAUAAAUUCCAAAAAAAUCAUGUGGACAUAUUUUAACCAUAAUAAUCAAAAACCAGGUAUAAUUAAUGAAAAAAACGAUAAUCAAAAGAAUGUAUGUAUUUAUAACUCGCCCACUUUGGAAACUGUCAGAGUGGCUAUUGGUUCUAGAGCGGAGCACACGCCCGCCCUCUGACCCGGCAAUUCUACUCCUCAACGCGUGUUCCCAGAGAAGGGCCUGCAUGGGUCCCCCAAAGCCACCACGUGCCGGAACCGGCUCACGCGGGCUCUUCCCGACUCCACUCUCAGUGCCGUCACGUUGGCAGCUUGAAAUCAGCCACAGGGGCAGGAUUUACGCCAUGGAAACUGACAAACGCUACUCAGGGCCUUGUUUCCUGAAGAGGCGUUGUUGUACAUUUUUCAGUACACUGCUGACCAGAAGUCAGGAAUAGAGCGUUCAUCACAGAGCUGUUGGUAAUAGCCCCGACUGGAUGCUGCCCCGACGUUCAUCAACAGGAGAAGGGUAAAUGCAUCAUGGCAUUUUUUUCGUGCACCAGAACACUACACGACAAUGAAAGCGAGUGCACACUAUCACAUACAGCAACACGGAUGAAUCUUGUAGACACGAAAGAAUUUGCAUUUUAGGAUUCCAUUUAUCUAAAAUUCAAAAACAAGCAAGCUCAUCUAUGGUGUUAGAAGCCAUGAUAACGGUUCUCCCUGGAUGGGAGAGUGAAGGGCAUGUCUGCAUCGGGGCACAAGGGGGUUUCUGAGGUGGUGGCAACAUUCCGUUCCGAUAUCUGCAUGCUGGUUAUGUGGGUGUGUUUACCUAGUAGAAUUCACUGAGCUGACAUUUAUGAUUUGAUAUAUUUUUGCAGGUAUGUUAAGCAAUAAGAAGUAUACUAAAAAUAUAGGAGUUAUGCAUAAAAUAAAACACAACAGAUUAAACUUAAAAAUUUUCUCCUAAAUAACUCUUGGGCCAAAAAGAAUACCAUAAAUGAACUGGAAAAUAGUAUUUGUCCUAGGUAAUUAACCAUAGGCUUGUGCAAACACUAAUUAUGAGAGUUUUUAUUGCAGCACGGUUCAGAGUAGUGAAAUGGUGAGUAUUAUCUAAGUGUUUAACAAAGGAAAUUGAGCAAACAGAUCAUGGCACAGUCACACAAUGGAAUAUUAUACAGUUAUUAAAAUUAUAUUGUACAGAAAAAUGUUUGAUGACAUAGAAAGGCCCCUAAUGUAUUAUUAAAUGGCUAUGAUAGGGUUUUUAAACAUGCAUUUUGUACAAGGAAAAAUAACUGGCUAGAAAUACAUCAAAAUAUUAACAGUUGUUAUCUCUGGAUAAUGGAAUUGCAGGUUACAAAAUUAUUUUGUAUCCUGUUUUGCAUUUUCCAAAUGCUCUGCUGUGAACAUGUAUUACUAUUGUGACCUCCCAAAUGUUUACUUAAGACAAGAUAGCUUUAUUAUUAUUCUGGCACCUAGAAUGUACCUUGGAGAUAAUAAAUUCCCAGGGGAUAUUUCUCGAGUGAAUGAGUGAGUAAUUUCUAGGGUAAGUCUGCGUGCUAUGGGAGAGGAGUGACGGGACCGCUUACCAUGAGAGAUGGGGACGGGACAUUCCAUCGUGGCUCUGGGGGGCAUAGCAGUGAAAUAAUAAAGGUGGAAGGAGGGAAGGAUGGAGAGGACCACGGCGGAUGGAGAUUGGAGAAAAACCCUUCCCAGGUUUAGAAACAGCUCAAACAGAGCGGAGCAGAGCGGUUUAUACAAGUGUAAUUUCCGAGGUCGAGACAGACUCUUCGCACCCUCUCAAUCUUUUGAGGCUCCUGGGGUUUACAAAACGGUGGUACGGUUCAUCUGCUCACUUUUAAUAAACACUCAUUUACGUGCAGAAAGUGAGACGACGCCAGCUGGAAGAGGCUCAUGAGAGCCGACUGUUAAAUGUUUAGAAAAUUCGCGAGCUGGUUCCUAAACCGCUGACGGCCCGCAGCUAGCCUUAGUGGGGUGUUUACACCGUGGAAACUGGUAAAGGCCACCAACCGGGGGAUCUCCACCCCUUCAUCCUGGAGAGUGGCUGAGCAGCACACUCCUGGACAGAAUUUGCACCUUCCCAGAUAAUUGCAGCACUCAGAAAAACGACUAAUCCUUACGUGGCCUGCCGGUGGGGCCGCGUUUAAGACGACUGUGCGCGCCUUCGUCUCCCAGUCCUGCCAGCUCUGUGACAGUGCGAAGCUUCAAAUGGAGGUUUGGCUUGGGCCAAAUGGCCAUUCUGCACGUUUUGCUCCCACCCAUGGUCGCCUCCACAGGUGGGAGACCCCAAGCCACCAGACCCCAUUACCCAAAGCCUCCGGCACCUCUCCCCACACCCAGGCCUGUCCAGGUGGCCCUGUGAUUAAUGUGCUCCAGCUGAGGUUGUGGGUGGGCGCAGACCAUGGCCUCCCAUGUGCCACAACUGUUGGCCUGAGCCUCUUUACGGCUCUGCCCCGUGGAACCCUUUGGGGCAAAUGGCGCCUGGCUGUGCUGUGGGUGAAGGCCUCCAACAGCACCCGGGAGAGGUAAACUGCAGGAGAAUUCAGCACUCACUCUUCAGACAGGAGCUUUCUUUUGAGCUGCAUCUCAAAAGAGGUUCAGUUAGCUGUGCAACAGGAGGAAGAGAGGAGCCGCUCCCCUGCCCUCCUCCCCUCUCUCUCCCUGCCUUCUAGCAAACUGCAGCCCUCUCCUGCAGGGGGAGCGGCCCCUGCUCCCCGGGGCCCCUCACUGCUGACAGGGGCUCCCGCGAGGGCCGCGUUCUCAUCGCCAGGACCCUGUCUGCUUUGCCAUCAGAAGGGUGACCACAGACUGUUCCCUCAGCCUAGAACAUUCUUCUCCCGCCUCCCCCAGUCCUGCACCUCCUCCGCUUUUGUCCGGGCGCUUCGCCCUCUUCUCCCAGGACAGGCAUCCAGAGGGACACCCCUCCCCAAAUGCUCUCAUUUUUAUGCCUCAGGGGUUUAACAAAAACACUCCAAAAACAUCUCUUGGGCACCUGCUAUGUACCAGGCUUGUGUGAGGUACGACAUAUCUUUUUCUUGUUUUCCUUAGGCCCCUGCCCUGGAGCGCCUUGCCUUCCUUCCUUCCAGAACCUUCUACGCUCCUCUCUUGGACUUAGAUGGAGCCCAUUGCAUGGUAGGAGCUCAGAACGUAUCGAGUACCUGCUGUUUCCAUUAUUCAGUGAAUAUUUACUGACUGACAGCCACGGCUGACGGGCCUGUUUCUGUUGAAAAGACGUGGAUUCGCCCCAACAGAGGGUCUGAGAUGUUUUUUUCUUCCCUCUACCUUGCUUCUUCAGCUCAGCUCAAUUUUCCCAGAAAGUAAUAUUUUCUAACUUGAUUAACAGACACCAUUUUCACGUUUGAUCAAGGCUGAAAACUGCCAGCAACAGUGAUCAAUAUUGUAUCGAAUUACCCCUAACUCACUUAGCACUUCAGGCGCGCUGGGUCGUGGAUCUGAACAGAGCUUUCGAAAGUUUCAAAGCGAGGAAGCCGGCCUUUGCUUGUGAAAUUCCUGUGCCGACCCUCCCUGACUUUAGUGGCCGGACCUCGCAGCUCUGACCCGCUUCGGAGAUGGAUCGCAGAACGCGAGCUUCUCAAUGUUCCCAAGUGCUCUAGUCAUGGGACCCAGGCGGGGCCGCCAAAAACGCCUGACAGUUUAUCUGGAGGGCCGGGGAUGGAAACUCCUCCUGUCUCCAUGGUAACCCUCGUUAUUGUUUCCAAAGUGGAGUUCUUGUCUGCAAGAGGGAGGAUUCGGAGAAAGGGCACUGCCUGGGGAGCUGGGAGGGAAAACCAACGGCCUCCCAGAGAAGCAGACGCCAGUCCGAGUGGAAGAGAUGCUGCUCCCAGGGCAGAGAAACCGCUGCAGACCUGUGUGGCCAGUGGCCAUUCGGCAAACUGCCUCCGGAUUCCGCGGGCCGCGCGGGCUUGUGUUUGCCUUCGGAGAGCUAAUAGAGCGCAGUGGGUCCACGGCUCUGAGCCAGACCCCGCAGGCCGUAGGAGGGGGCACCUAGAGCCGUCCUCCUCCAGGGCUUCCCAGAGUGGAAUGGCCAUUCUCCUCCUGAGGCAGACAGGUGCCUGCCCAGUCAGCCAAGCAGGCCCCAACCUGCCCCGUGUCGCGCUCCGUCUUGCUAAAUAGCAUCGCC
Molecule: long non-coding RNA, 4415 nt
Filed under: Equus caballus (horse)
Lineage: Eukaryota; Metazoa; Chordata; Mammalia; Perissodactyla; Equidae
Description: lncRNA (ENSECAG00000049182.1)
Source: RNAcentral